RNAcentral lists this transfer RNA (116 nucleotides) under Cercophora newfieldiana. It matches the Rfam family "tRNA". From Rfam's summary of the family: Transfer RNA (tRNA) molecules are approximately 80 nucleotides in length. Their secondary structure includes four short double-helical elements and three loops (D, anti-codon, and T loops). Further hydrogen bonds mediate the characteristic L-shaped molecular structure. tRNAs have two regions of fundamental functional importance: the anti-codon, which is responsible for specific mRNA codon recognition, and the 3' end, to which the tRNAs corresponding amino acid is attached (by aminoacyl-tRNA synthetases). tRNAs cope with the degeneracy of the genetic code in two manners: having more than one tRNA (with a specific anti-codon) for a particular amino acid; and 'wobble' base-pairing, i.e. permitting non-standard base-pairing at the 3rd anti-codon position. The record is from Rfam by way of RNAcentral. Lineage: Eukaryota; Fungi; Ascomycota; Sordariomycetes; Sordariales; Lasiosphaeriaceae.
GGCGAGAUGGCCGAGCGGUCUAAGGCGCUACGUUAAGGCAUUCCUUAAUAACAUCAUCUUUCGAGAUCCUGGUUCCGUAGUCCGAAAGGGCGUGGGUUCGAAUCCCACUCUCGUCA